CCCUUAGAUGCUCUGGGCCGCACGCGCGCUACACUGAUGCAUUCAACAAGCCUAGCCUUGACCGAGAGGUCCGGGUAAUCUUUGAAACUGCAUCGUGAUGGGGCUAGAUUAUUGCAAUUAUUAAUCUUCAACGAGGAAUGCCUAGUAAGCGUGAUUCAUCAAAUCGCGUUGAUUACGUCCCUGCCCUUUGUACACACCGCCCGUCGCUCCUACCGAUUGAAUGUGUUGGUGAGGAGCUCGGAUUGGCAGCAGUUGGUGGUUCGCCACCGGCUAUUGCUGAGAAGUCCUCCAAACCGCCCCAUUUAGAGGAAGGAGAAGUCGUAACA
RNAcentral lists this ribosomal RNA (326 nucleotides) under uncultured eukaryote. RNAcentral describes it as "partial 18S ribosomal RNA". It matches the Rfam family "Eukaryotic small subunit ribosomal RNA", at positions 1470 to 1796 of the family's 1831-position model. The record is from RNAcentral.